GACGAACGCUGGCGGCGUGCUUAACACAUGCAAGUCGAACGGAAAGGCCCUGCUUUUGUGGGGUGCUCGUGUGGCGAACGGGUGAGUAACACGUGAGUAACCUGCCCUUGACUUUGGGAUAACUUCAGGAAACUGGGGCUAAUACAGGAUAUGAGAUCCUGAUGCAUGGUGGGGGUUGGAAAGUUUCGGCGGUUGGGGAUGGUCUCGCGGCUUAUCAGCUUGUUGGUGGGGUUGUGGCAUACAAGGGCUUCGAAGGGUAGCCGGCCUGAGAGGGUGACCGGCGACAUUGGGACUGCGAUACGGCCCAGUCUCCUACGGGAGGCAGCAGUGGGGAAUAUUGCACAGUGGGCGGAAGCCUGAUGCAGCAACGCCGCGUGCGGGAUGACGGCCUUCGGGUUGUAAACCGCUUUCUCCUGUAACGAAGCGUGAGUGACGGUAAUGGGUAAAGAAGCACCGGCUAACUACGUG
Molecule: ribosomal RNA, 468 nt
Filed under: uncultured bacterium
Lineage: Bacteria
Description: partial 16S ribosomal RNA
Rfam family: Bacterial small subunit ribosomal RNA
Source: RNAcentral